AUACGUAGGGGGCAAGCGUUGUCCGGAAUUAUUGGGCGUAAAGCGCGCGCAGGCGGUUCAUUAAGUCUGGGGUAUAAGUGCGGGGCUCAACCCCGUGAGGCCCUGGAAACUGGGGAACUGGAGUGUAGGAGAGGAAAGUGGAAUUCCACGUGUAGCGGUGAAAUGCGUAGAGAUGUGGAGGAACACCAGUGGCGAAGGCGACUUUCUGGCCUAUAACUGACGCUGAGGCGCGAAAGCGUGGGGAGCAAACAGGAUUAGAUACCCUGGUAGUCCACGCCGUAAACGAUGCAUGCUAGGUGUUGGGGGUUUCAAUACCCUCGGUGCAGAAGUUAACACAUUAAGCAUGCCGCCUGGGGAGUACGCUCGCAAGAGUGAA
RNAcentral lists this ribosomal RNA (376 nucleotides) under uncultured bacterium. RNAcentral's name for it is "bacterial SSU rRNA". It matches the Rfam family "Bacterial small subunit ribosomal RNA", at positions 523 to 898 of the family's 1533-position model. The record is from RNAcentral.